AUGCUUUAAGUGAAGGGAAAUAUCCGUGUCGGGGUAAACUACGGCUUCCGGAUUCCUGGAUAGAGCAUCUCAUAGGAAAGUACCGUUAGAAAGAUCAACUCGUAAUUGAUUGAGUAUAAAUAACCUCUAGAGGGAGGUCGCGUGGAAACUAUGAUGAAACUCCUAGAAGUGGGCGUGCCUGGCAGAAGGAGUAGGUCGAAAACUGGUUGCUGAAGCAGCAUAAGCUCCCUGAUGUAAGCUCCCUGAAUAAAUUCACAGCAAUACAUCAAAGUAGUAUGAAAGUUGGCCAGUAUAAAUAAAUUCCCUGUUAACGGAAAGAGGGUUUGCAAAUCCGACGUCGUGAGACACGGACCUCAUGGGAAGAAGAAGCAACUUUAGUGUUAGAGAGAUACUGUUAAUGAGCUCUAACAUGUUCAAAUAUUUUAUUUAAG
This 431-nucleotide non-coding RNA is filed under the name unclassified sequences. RNAcentral describes it as "HOLDH RNA". It matches the Rfam family "HOLDH RNA". Rfam says of the family: Environmental (human tongue dorsum, human supragingival plaque). Downstream gene The record is from Rfam by way of RNAcentral.